GGAGAGAUGUCCGAGUGGUUGAAGGAGCACGACUGGAAAUCGUGUAGGGGGUCAAAAGCUCCCUCGAGGGUUCGAAUCCCUCUCUCUCCGCCA
RNAcentral lists this transfer RNA (93 nucleotides) under Nitrospirota bacterium. Its description in RNAcentral is "Nitrospirae bacterium (groundwater metagenome) tRNA-Ser". It matches the Rfam family "tRNA". Rfam says of the family: Transfer RNA (tRNA) molecules are approximately 80 nucleotides in length. Their secondary structure includes four short double-helical elements and three loops (D, anti-codon, and T loops). Lineage: Bacteria; Pseudomonadati; Nitrospirota. The record is from RNAcentral.